AUGGAGAUGAAGGAGAGACAGCGGUGGCGGCCUGAGGAAGACGCCAUCCUCCGCUCCUACGUCCGGCAGUAUGGCCCCCGCGAGUGGAACCUGGUGGCGCAGCGCAUGAACGUGCCCCUCGACCGCGACGCCAAGUCCUGCCUCGAGCGCUGGAAGAACUACCUCCGCCCCGGCAUCAAGAAGGGCUCCCUCACCGACGACGAGCAGCGCCUCGUCAUCCGCCUCCAGGCCAAGCACGGCAACAAGUGGAAGAAGAUCGCCGCCGAGGUGCCCGGCCGCACGGCGAAGCGCCUCGGCAAGUGGUGGGAGGUGUUCAAGGAGAAGCAGCAGCGGGAGAUCAGGGACAGCCGGAGGCCGCCCCCCGAGCCCAGCCCCGACGAGAGGGGCAGGUACGAGUGGCUGCUCGAGAACUUCGCCGAGAAGCUCGUCAAGGAGAGGCAGCAGGUGGGACACCACCACCACCUCAUGGCGGCUCCCAUGCUCCCGCCCUGGAUGUCGUCCACCGCCGCCAACGGCGCGCCCGUCUCUCCGGCGCCGCCGUCGCCGUCCGUGACGCUCAGCCUCGCCUCCGCCGUCGUCCCGCCCCCGACCGCCGCGCCGUGGAUGCAGCAGCAGCAGCAGGCGCCGGGCAUGGUGGCGGAUGCUCCUCAGGCAGCGCUGGCAGAGCUGGCCGAGUGCUGCCGGGAGCUGGACGAGGGGCACCGCGCGUGGGCCGCGCACCGGAAAGAGGCCUCGUGGAGGCUGAAGCGCGUGGAGCUGCAGCUGGAGUCGGAGCGCGCGUGCCGGCGGCGCGAGGCCGCGGAGGAGUUCGAGGCCAAGAUGCGAGCGCUGUGGGAGGAGCAGGCGGCCGCCGUGGAGCGCCUCGAGGCGGAGUACCGGGAGAAGGUGGCCGGGCUCCGGCGUGAUGCCGAGCUCAAGGAGCAGAAGAUGGCGGAGCAGUGGGCCGCCAAGCACGCCCGCCUCACCAAGUUCCUCGAGCAGGUCGGCUCGUCGUGCCGCCGCUGGCCGCCCGGCGAGAUGAACGGCCGCUGA
This 1032-nucleotide ribosomal RNA is filed under the name Triticum aestivum (bread wheat). Its description in RNAcentral is "partial small subunit ribosomal RNA". The record is from RNAcentral. Lineage: Eukaryota; Viridiplantae; Streptophyta; Magnoliopsida; Poales; Poaceae.